CUUAAUCAAUAAUGUUCUUGUAUCCUUUGAUGAUGUUAGUAAUGGUAUAAUUGCUACAAUUACAGUAUGAAAAUGUGCAUACUUUGCCACAUCCCAAAGCUGAAGUCUUUCAUUUCCAAUUCAAUAUUAAUUUUUUAAAAAUGAAAAUAAAUACAAAAUCAUUUCACUGGGCUGUGCCAGUGAUGGGCACUAACAAUUUGGGUAAUAAGUAAAGGAGUUUUAGGGAGGAGAUGGAACUUGAAUUGAAGCUUGAAGGGAGCUAGGGGCUCCAAGGGGGGAGAGAAUAUUCCAAGAAUGUGAGACAGUUCACAAAAAUUCAGAGGCAGGUGAUAACAGACUGAGAUCAGGGAAUAAUGAAGAAUUGAAUUUGACUACACCAUACAGUCUAUGCUGAAUAAUGCGAAAUGAGGAUCUCAGAUUUAGAACUAGAAGGGACUGACUGUAGGACACUUAAUGCAACCCCUCUUUUUACAGGUAAGGAAACUGAGGCUCAGAGUAAUUUACCCAAGAUAACAUAGAGAGAACAUUUCAAAGGUGGGAUCUGAACCCAAGUCUGACUUUAAGUGGGUUACCACAUUCUGUUGGAAAGUCGUCACUGAGAAGGUGAGAAGAGGAAGAUUACAAUAGAGAUGCCCUCCAACAAGAAGACUAUUGUCAUAGGUUUUUUAGAGAGAACAGAAAUACUCUUUGGUGUUUAAAUUCCAAGAAAAAGAAAUCUAAGGGAGAGAACACAUUUCAUGAGUGGAAUGGAGUAGUGUCGUAGGAAAAGAAAUGUCAUCACUGAAAGCCAGAGGGACUUCAGGAGGUAGAAAUGAAGAGGAAGCACAGAGGAAUCAAGGCAGGGGACAAAGUACACAAAGAUAUUAGCUGUGCAGAGGGCAGAGUAAGAACCGGAACAGAGAAUGAUCUGCCACAAAGUAGUCAGAUAUGGGGGAAAAAGGAUCCGCCCCUCAUCCACCUACUGCCAGGCAGGGGAAAGAAGAACCAGAUUACCCAAAGAGAUGAAAAACAGAAAAAGAUCUGAAGAAGGAAAAAGAGCAGGUGGCUGAGUAAGAGAAGAAGCAUGAGAGUGAAGAGUCAUGGAAGAAAGGAAAGAGAGUCCAUAAGGAAAAGUGAGGGCAGUUCAUGUUCAUCCAACCUAUGGUACGUUGCUAAAGCUAUGAGCUCACAUGGACCAGGUUCAAUCUUGGAGGUUUCUCAAUAAUUAAUACUCUCCAUGGCUCAUGUUUUCCUCUAUCCAAUUGGGCAUACUUCUAAGUAUUAUCUAGGUA
RNAcentral lists this long non-coding RNA (1271 nucleotides) under Monodelphis domestica (gray short-tailed opossum). RNAcentral's name for it is "lncRNA (ENSMODG00000047640.1)". The record is from RNAcentral. Lineage: Eukaryota; Metazoa; Chordata; Mammalia; Didelphimorphia; Didelphidae.